GAAGGUAAAUUACAUUGUAUUGAUAAAGGUAACGUACCAUUUUAUACACUUCACAUUGACCAUUACGGGCCAUUAGAAAAAUCGGGCAAUCGUCAUAAAUACAUUUUUGAGAUCGUAGAUGGUUUUACCAAAUUUGUCAAAUUUUACGCGACUGUCUCAACAAAUACCGAUGAAGUUAUCAAACAUUUAAAUAGUAAUUUUUGUAUUAAGUGCGCGAAAUGAGUGUUUUUUUAAUGGCGCCUGAGAAUGUUAUUUUAGUCGAGACCGCCAGGUCGAGACCUAAAAGACAUUCGAAGGCGCCAUUAAAACAUGAAUUUCGCCACGAAAUACAAACAACGUUUUUUCUACAGCCUCCAGAUGAAGAAAAAAGUAACAGAAAUUAGUUGGAACAAAAUGGUCUGAUAAAUCGAGUUGCUUGCAUGGUUACGAUGAUAAAUAAAAGUGAUAGUUGCGAAAAAUUUGUCACAAUAGGUAUUUUUGUUGAAGAAGUGUGAUGGAUUUUAGCAGCGAAAACGAAAUAGAUGCAAUUGCAAGCGCGGCAGUGUCGAAUCUUUUGCCUGCUAAAUCAAGACCGCAGUACGAAAAAACGUAUCUUCAGUUUCGGCAGUGGUGUUCUAUGAAAAAGAUUGAUCAAGUAACGGAAAAUGUUUUGUUGGCGUAUUUGGAAGAAAAGUCUACCACCUUAAAGCCACCAACACUCUGGGCCCUUUAUGCGAUGUUGAAAGCCACCUUAAACGUUAAAGAGAAUAUCGAUACACAAGCAAGAAGUCGCAAAUUUUAGACAAAGAAGACAUUAGCAAGUUUAUUAAUGAAGCAGAUGACAAGAUAUAUUUACUGAUGAAGACUGUGCUAAUUUUGGGUAUAUCGGGAGCCCUUCGACGUGAAGAAUUAGUUAAAAUGAAGCUAACUGACAUAGAAGAUAAACAGUCUGUCUUAAUUGUGAAGGUGCCUGAUACAAAAACCCACUGCGAACGAAUAUUUACUGUUUCAAAUUUAGAAAAUAUAGAAAUUGUCAGAAAAUAUAGAGCUUUGCGGCCUCCACGGGCGACUAGUGACCGUUUAUUUUUAAAGUAUACCAACGGAAAAUGUGUGAAUCAAAAUGUUGGAAUUAACAAAAUCGGAGAGAUACCAAGUUUGAUUGCAAAGUGGCUUAACAAAGACGAACCUAAAAAAUAUACUGGUCACUGCUUCAGAAGAAGCUCUGCCACUCUUUUGGCGAAUGCUGGAGGUGAUCUAAUUUCAAUUAAACGUCAUGGGGGCUGGAGAAGCAGCACAGUGGCAGAAAGUUACAUCGAGGACUCUUUGAAUAAUAAAAUUGAAAUUGCCAAUAAAAUUCAACCUUCUUCCUCCACAGAAGAAAACAAAAUCACUCAACCUUCUACAUCGGCUUCUUUUAAUGGCGAAAAUAACUUUCAUUUACAAGCGUCUUCACUCAGGCCUCUGGGGAUAAACGGGGGCACGUUUUCGUCAUGCACAUUUAAUUUUCAUAUGUCAAAGUAAAUAUCUAUUAUUAUUGUUUUGUAAUAUUGUUCUGUAUAAUUAUAAAACCUUUAAAACUA
RNA transcript from Tribolium castaneum (red flour beetle), 1559 nucleotides. RefSeq lists it as uncharacterized. The record is from RefSeq and is a predicted model, not a curated record. The transcript is spliced from 3 exons. Lineage: Eukaryota; Metazoa; Arthropoda; Insecta; Coleoptera; Tenebrionidae.